Molecule: long non-coding RNA, 390 nt
Organism: Zingiber officinale
Lineage: Eukaryota; Viridiplantae; Streptophyta; Magnoliopsida; Zingiberales; Zingiberaceae
Exons: 3
Source: RefSeq, a predicted model, not a curated record
AAGGGCCUUAAGAUUGUUUAAUUCAAACAAGGGAAGGAAAGGUAGAAAAAAGGCUAUGUGGGUAAUAGUAAAGGCUCCUCGACAACAAGAUGCCAAACAAUGUGGUUAUUAUGUGAUGCGAUUUAUGAGACAAAUUGUUGAAGAAGUUGAAAUUAUCGAAAGAGAUUCACUACCAUCUAUAUUCACACAAGCAGAGUAUUCUCGAGAAGAAAUUGAUGAGGUGCGAUCGGAGUUGGCAGAAUGUAUACAAGAUCAUAUUUAUGAGUAGGUGCGUUCCCUCACCCCUUCAUAUUUGUUAGAUUAUGCUGAACUCUUAAAAUUUUCAUUAAGGGUGAUUGUUCUCCAUUUGAAAAGCUUAGAAUGACUAUUUUUUCAAUCUUAUUUGAUUCA